This 1118-nucleotide long non-coding RNA is filed under the name Olea europaea subsp. europaea. The record is from RNAcentral. Lineage: Eukaryota; Viridiplantae; Streptophyta; Magnoliopsida; Lamiales; Oleaceae.
CAAACUACUUGUUAAUAACUUGAGGGUUCGCCGCCCAAAAGGAUCGCUGGAAGGUUCAAAAUUGUGACAUCAAUGGACGAAGGCACCAAUUUACUCUUACGGUUUAUAUUUUGUCUAUGUUUCGCUUUCCUGCUUAUUAUUUUAGUUUUGGGGUUAACUUUAAUGAUGAUUUUAUCCCAAACUACGUCCCUCAAAUUCUUGAUUUGUAGCAUUGCGAUUGUCAUUGUUGGCAUCUUUGAAAUUGUCGUAGCAUGUGCAAUUAUUUUUUCUGCACGUAGGGAACUCAAGCAACAGGCAAAAGUUGCACCAGAGUCGACCGUAGAAGUUUAAGUCCUUGUUUAUCGAUUUGAAUCUAAUAUAAUUUUAAUUCUUGGGAGAAUUUGUAUUCUGGAUUUUGGUGUUCAAAAGCAAUAUGGAGAUUGUUGAAGUUGUUAUAGCAUUUGUACGUAUUUUAAUUUAUUUUUUAUCCACGUAGAACUCAAACAUGCAAAAGUUGGACAUGAGACUGUUGCAAAAGUUUAAUCCCUGUUUACCAAUUUGUUUAUAAUUUUAUUUUUAUUAUUUUCGAAUUUCUUGCAUCGAGAGUUCUGAAUGAUAUCGAUAUCGUUACUUCUAUCUUUAUACCAUAAAAUAAUGUAUUCAUUAUGUCCGAGUCCUAAUUAAAUGGCGAGUCUCAAUUAUUUUCGAUAGUACUAUAAUUUUUUUUUUCUUUUCGUACAUAAAACUGAUUAUAUCAACGUUAGACAAAAUAAAAGAACAUAUAAAAGUGAAUUGCUUUCGUUGUCACACAGUCUUAUUAUGUCUAGGAUACAUUUGAUACUUAGGAAAACAUUGACCUCGGAAAGUUUUUAACUGUAUUCACAUUGGUAUAUUCAAUUUAUUAAGUAUUGAAUUGAGACGAAAAGGGUGUUUAAACAUGGGACUCGUAUGUUAUGCUCGUUACUAGAACCGUGAAGCCUACUCGACUAGUGAGACUUGAAAACAUUGUGUUCUGAAAAUAUAUAAUUUAUAUUUCAAUAUUAUAAGAAUCGAUAAUAAGAAAUUAAGAAUGAUUGGUUUAUUUAACUGGAAAACAUGAAAUUUAAAAACCAUUAGAAUAUUCAUGGAGUUGAAACUGG